GGCUUAGAGUUUGAUCAUGGCUCAGGACGAACGCUGGCGGCGCGCCUAACACAUGCAAGUCGAACGGAAUGCGGGGAGGAUUUAUCUUUUCUGUGUUUAGUGGCGAACGGGUGAGUAACGCGUGAGGAACCUGCCUCAAAGAGGGGGACAACAGUUGGAAACGACUGCUAAUACCGCAUAAGCCCACGGGGCCGCAUGGCCCUGAGGGAAAAGGAGCAAUCCGCUUUGAGAUGGCCUCGCGUCCGAUUAGCUGGUUGGUGAGGUAACGGCCCACCAAGGCGACGAUCGGUAGCCGGACUGAGAGGUUGAACGGCCACAUUGGGACUGAGACACGGCCCAGACUCCUACGGGAGGCAGCAGUGGGGAAUAUUGCACAAUGGGGGAAACCCUGAUGCAGCGACGCCGCGUGGAGGAAGAAGGUCUUCGGAUUGUAAACUCCUGUUGUUGGGGAAAAGAAGGAUGGUACCCAACAAGGAAGUGACGGCUAACUACGUGCCAGCAGCCGCGGUAAAACGUAGGUCACGAGCGUUGUCCGGAAUUACUGGGUGUAAAGGGAGCGCAGGCGGGUAUGCAAGCUGGGAGUGAAAUGCAUGGGCUCAACCCAUGAACUGCUCUCAAAACUGUGUAUCUUGAGUAGUGCAGAGGUAGGCG
Molecule: ribosomal RNA, 651 nt
Filed under: uncultured organism
Description: bacterial SSU rRNA
Rfam family: Bacterial small subunit ribosomal RNA
Source: RNAcentral